Molecule: ribosomal RNA, 254 nt
Filed under: uncultured bacterium
Lineage: Bacteria
Description: partial 16S ribosomal RNA
Rfam family: Bacterial small subunit ribosomal RNA
Source: RNAcentral
GCAAGUCGAACGGCAGCACCAUAAGAGCUUGCUCUUAUGGGUGGCGAGUGGCGGACGGGUGAGGAAUACAUCGGAAUCUACCUUUUCGUGGGGGAUAACGUAGGGAAACUUACGCUAAUACCGCAUACGACCUUCGGGUGAAAGCAGGGGACCUUCGGGCCUUGCGCGGAUAGAUGAGCCGAUGUCGGAUUAGCUAGUUGGCGGGGUAAAGGCCUACCAAGGCAACGAUCCAUAGCUGGUCUGAGAGGAUGAUC